RNAcentral lists this ribosomal RNA (576 nucleotides) under uncultured bacterium. Its description in RNAcentral is "partial 16S ribosomal RNA". It matches the Rfam family "Bacterial small subunit ribosomal RNA", at positions 355 to 922 of the family's 1533-position model. The record is from RNAcentral.
UGGGGAAUAUUGCACAAUGGGCGCAAGCCUGAUGCAGCCAUGCCGCGUGUGUGAAGAAGGCCUUUUGGUUGUAAAGCACUUUAAGCAGGGAGGAGAGGCUAAUGGUUAAUACCCAUUAGAUUAGACGUUACCUGCAGAAUAAGCACCGGCUAACUCUGUGCCAGCAGCCGCGGUAAUACAGAGGGUGCGAGCGUUAAUCGGAAUUACUGGGCGUAAAGCGAGUGUAGGUGGCUCAUUAAGUCACAUGUGAAAUCCCCGGGCUUAACCUGGGAACUGCAUGUGAUACUGGUGGUGCUAGAAUAUGUGAGAGGGAAGUAGAAUUCCAGGUGUAGCGGUGAAAUGCGUAGAGAUCUGGAGGAAUACCGAUGGCGAAGGCAGCUUCCUGGCAUAAUAUUGACACUGAGAUUCGAAAGCGUGGGUAGCAAACAGGAUUAGAUACCCUGGUAGUCCACGCCGUAAACGAUGUCUACUAGCCGUUGGGGUCCUUGAGACUUUAGUGGCGCAGUUAACGCGAUAAGUAGACCGCCUGGGGAGUACGGCCGCAAGGUUAAAACUCAAAUGAAUUGACGGGGUCAU